UCCCUGGUGGCUCACAUGGUAAAGACUUUGCCUGCAAUGCAGAAGACCCAGGUUCAAUCCCUGGCUCAGGAA
This 72-nucleotide transfer RNA is filed under the name Bos taurus (domestic cattle). It matches the Rfam family "tRNA". From Rfam's summary of the family: Transfer RNA (tRNA) molecules are approximately 80 nucleotides in length. Their secondary structure includes four short double-helical elements and three loops (D, anti-codon, and T loops). Lineage: Eukaryota; Metazoa; Chordata; Mammalia; Artiodactyla; Bovidae. The record is from Rfam by way of RNAcentral. RNAcentral also lists the same sequence under 5 other names.